UGAGCAAUCUGCCCUUCUCAUCGGAAUAAGCGUUGGAAACGACGUCUAAUGCCGAAUACGACCUCCUUUCGCAUGAUCGGAGGUGGAAAGCUCCGGCGGAGAAGGAUGAGCUCGCGGCCUAUCAGCUAGUUGGUGUGGGUAAUGGCCCACCAAGGCGACGACGGGUAGCCGGCCUGAGAGGGUGACCGGCCACACUGGGACUGAGACACGGCCCAGACUCCUACGGGAGNAG
Molecule: ribosomal RNA, 232 nt
Filed under: uncultured bacterium
Lineage: Bacteria
Description: partial 16S ribosomal RNA
Rfam family: Bacterial small subunit ribosomal RNA
Source: RNAcentral